Molecule: long non-coding RNA, 1114 nt
Organism: Hemibagrus wyckioides
Lineage: Eukaryota; Metazoa; Chordata; Actinopteri; Siluriformes; Bagridae
Exons: 3
Source: RefSeq, a predicted model, not a curated record
UUCAUAUCAGCUCGGUUUAGGCACAUUUAUAACUGGAUUAGAUGAGACUUAUUAGAUUUCUAAUUGUUCUGUCCAAUAAGCAAGUACAGCCACUUCAUAUAGGCAGUGACUGAGAGCAACAUGGCAUUAGUUUAGGGAGAGGCUGAGAGUCAGGAGGAUGAAGAUGGAAACUGUAAUGUGACAGAAUUGCAGUAUGUGUUAAGAUGCGUGUCCAACUGCUUGCCAAGUGUUCAUCAAAAGCAAAGAGAAGCACAGCAGUCCGAAUUCCUGGAAGGAUGUGCAAACAAGAUCUUUUUGGAUGGUGGAUGAAUUUUUGCACCUCCAGAAAGGAAAAUUAUUUAAAGCCCACAGCUUCCGUCUCUGCCCUUCUUAGUCUAUAAAUCUAAACACAUUUUUCUCAUUUGGAUAGGCACCAUGCAAAAGCUUGUAUGAGAAGUUCCAAAUGCUUUAGACUAUGUGUUUGUUUUUACAGAAACAUCUUGAGACACGAUGUUGCACGAUGCAGGCUACAGGCUGAGAAACUGCAGUUACUAUACAUAAUUAAACCAAAAAGCUUAUUCUAAAUUAGUCAUUUUGCUGUGUAAUAUUGUUUAUGUUUUGGCUAGACAUGAUUUCACGCUACAGAGGUUGCAUCCAUCCACAUAUUUGAGUCAUAGGAAUAUUUUCUGGUUGCUAAAGCUAGUGUUUAGUGUUUAGUGUAAUCACAGUCUGAACAUCAUUUAGCUUUGAGGAGCGAAGACAUAACUGUGAAAUGACUAAAGCUUUACAAAUCCAUGAUUUAUAUUUUGGAGCCUGGUCUGCAGUUAUAAUAUGGAUUUUCACACAUAUGUCCACAUUUGUUAAAAUAGACACUAAGAUCAUUCCUUUUUAAACUGUAUGACAUGGUUAGAUUCAACAUUUCAGAAAUAUUAGGACAGCUAGUGGGAUGUUCUAUAAUUGCUGUGCUAUUUAAAAAUCAUUUUCUCAAUACUGAAUCUAAGAAAUCAAGGUCUAGUUUUUACCAUAGAAUGAUCAAAUGUAGGAAAAUGUGUUACAUUAUAACCCUGCUAAUGGCAUAAGGACAUUCAGCUCCCUGGCUCCCUACAUCUUGAACCAGUGUAUCCAGUACAUGAUU